This 489-nucleotide ribosomal RNA is filed under the name uncultured bacterium. Its description in RNAcentral is "partial 16S ribosomal RNA". It matches the Rfam family "Bacterial small subunit ribosomal RNA", at positions 28 to 523 of the family's 1533-position model. The record is from RNAcentral.
GACGAACGCUGGCGGCGUGCUUAACACAUGCAAGUCGAACGGUAAGGCCCCUUCGGGGGUACACGAGUGGCGAACGGGUGAGUAACACGUGGGUGAUCUGCCCUGCACUUCGGGAUAAGCCUGGGAAACUGGGUCUAAUACCGGAUAGGACCUCUGCCUGCAUGGGCGGGGGUGGAAAGCUUUUGCGGUGUGGGAUGGGCCCGCGGCCUAUCAGCUUGUUGGGGGGGUGAUGGCCUACCAAGGCGACGACGGGUAGCCGGCCUGAGAGGGUGUCCGGCCACACUGGGACUGAGAUACGGCCCAGACUCCUACGGGAGGCAGCAGUGGGGAAUAUUGCACAAUGGGCGCAAGCCUGAUGCAGCGACGCCGCGUGAGGGAUGACGGCCUUCGGGUUGUAAACCUCUUUCAGUACCGACGAAGCGCCGAUGAUGGUGGUGACGGUAGGUACAGAAGAAGCACCGGCCAACUACGUGCCAGCCGCCGCGGUAA